GUCGCCCUGAGGAGAGAAGCCAUUUCUCUACUGCCUUCUGUCUCUGAAGAGGAGGAGGAAGUAAAAGUUGAAAAACAACAGGAAUGAAGUCAGUGGCAAGACCAGCCGGUGGCACUGAGGAGCCCGCCUGAGAGAUGAAAGGCAGAGCGUGCUCCAAGCGGCAACUAAGUGGCUAGAGGAACAUGCACCAGCUGAUUAUCAAAACCCGCAAGAGUAUGGAAGGACCCAGUUACCAGGAACCGACCGGCAGUAGGACCCACAUGAAAGAGAGGAUAUACAAAAGCUACACGGAGACAGGGAAGCUCUCUUGGAAGGAUUAAAGAGGGGAGCUCAGAAGGCUACAAACAUUAGCAAGGUCUCUGAGGUCAUUCAGGGAAAAGAAGAAAGUCCAGCACAAUUCUACGAGAGACUGUGUGAGGCCUAUGGUAUGUAUACUCCCUUUGAUCCCGAUAGCCCUGAA
RNAcentral lists this long non-coding RNA (460 nucleotides) under Pan troglodytes (chimpanzee). RNAcentral's name for it is "long non-coding RNA NONPTRT010808". The record is from RNAcentral. Lineage: Eukaryota; Metazoa; Chordata; Mammalia; Primates; Hominidae.